UUCAGAUUGAACGCUGGCGGCAGGCCUAACACAUGCAAGUCGAACGGUAACAGGAAACAGCUUGCUGUUUCGCUGACGAGUGGCGGACGGGUGAGUAAUGUCUGGGAAACUGCCUGAUGGAGGGGGAUAACUACUGGAAACGGUAGCUAAUACCGCAUAACGUCGCAAGACCAAAGAGGGGGACCUUCGGGCCUCUUGCCAUCGGAUGUGCCCAGAUGGGAUUAGCUUGUUGGUGGGGUAACGGCUCACCAAGGCGACGAUCCCUAGCUGGUCUGAGAGGAUGACCAGCCACACUGGAACUGAGACACGGUCCAGACUCCUACGGGAGGCAGCAGUGGGGAAUAUUGCACAAUGGGCGCAAGCCUGAUGCAGCCAUGCCGCGUGUAUGAAGAAGGCCUUCGGGUUGUAAAGUACUUUCAGCGGGGAGGAAGGGAGUAAAGUUAAUACCUUUGCUCAUUGACGUUACCCGCAGAAGAAGCACCGGCUAACUCCGUGCCAGCAGCCGCGGUAAUACGGAGGGUGCAAGCGUUAAUCGGAAUUACUGGGCGUAAAGCGCACGCAGGCGGUUUGUUAAGUCAGAUGUGAAAUCCCCGGGCUCAACCUGGGAACUGCAUCUGAUACUGGCAAGCUUGAGUCUCGUAGAGGGGGGUAGAAUUCCAGGUGUAGCGGUGAAAUGCGUAGAGAUCUGGAGGAAUACCGGUGGGCGAAGGCGGCCCCCUGGACGAAGACUGACGCUCAGGUGCGAAAGCGUGGGGAGCAAACAGGAUUAGAUACCCUGGUAGUUCACGCCGUAAACGAUGUCGACUUGGAGGUUGUGCCCUUGAGGCGUGGCUUCCGGAGCUAACGCGUUAAGUCGACCGCCUGGGGAGUACGGCCGCAAGGUUAAAACUCAAAUGAAUUGACGGGGGCCCGCACAAGCGGUGGAGCAUGUGGUUUAAUUCGAUGCAACGCGAAGAACCUUACCUGGUCUUGACAUCCACAGAACUUUCCAGAGAUGGAUUGGUGCCUUCGGGAACUGUGAGACAGGUGCUGCAUGGCUGUCGUCAGCUCGUGUUGUGAAAUGUUGGGUUAAGCCCCGCAACGAGCGCAACCCUUAUCCUUUGUUGCCAGCGGUCCGGCCGGGAACUCAAAGGAGACUGCCAGUGAUAAACUGGAGGAAGGUGGGGAUGACGUCAAGUCAUCAUGGCCCUUACGACCAGGGCUACACACGUGCUACAAUGGCGCAUACAAAGAGAAGCGACCUCGCGAGAGCAAGCGGACCUCAUAAAGUGCGUCGUAGUCCGGAUUGGAGUCUGCAACUCGACUCCAUGAAGUCGGAAUCGCUAGUAAUCGUGGAUCAGAAUGCCACGGUGAAUACGUUCCCGGGCCUUGUACACACCGCCCGUCACACCAUGGGAGUGGGUUGCAAAAGAAGUAGGUAGCUUAACCUUCGGGAGGGCGCUUACCACUUUG
This 1452-nucleotide ribosomal RNA is filed under the name uncultured organism. Its description in RNAcentral is "SSU rRNA". It matches the Rfam family "Bacterial small subunit ribosomal RNA". The record is from RNAcentral.